GACGAACGCUGGCGGCGUGCUUAACACAUGCAAGUCGAGCGGAAAGGCCCUUCGGGGUACUCGAGCGGCGAACGGGUAAGUAACACGUGAGUAAUCUGCCCUUGGCUUUGGGAUAACUACCGGAAACGGUGGCUAAUACCGGAUACGACAACCGUCUGCAUGGGCUGGUUGUGGAAAGUUUUUUCGGCCAGGGAUGUGCUCGCGGCCUAUCAGCUUGUUGGUGGGGUAAUGGCCUACCAAGGCUUCGACGGGUAGCCGGCCUGAGAGGGUGACCGGCCACACUGGGACUGAGACACGGCCCAGACUCCUACGGGAGGCAGCAGUGGGGAAUAUUGGACAAUGGGCGGAAGCCUGAUCCAGCAACGCCGCGUGAGGGAUGACGGCCUUCGGGUUGUAAACCUCUUUCAGUACCGACGAAGCGCCGAUGAUGGUGGUGACGGUAGGUACAGAAGAAGCACCGGCCAACUACGUG
This 472-nucleotide ribosomal RNA is filed under the name uncultured bacterium. RNAcentral's name for it is "partial 16S ribosomal RNA". It matches the Rfam family "Bacterial small subunit ribosomal RNA", at positions 28 to 507 of the family's 1533-position model. The record is from RNAcentral.